RNAcentral lists this ribosomal RNA (606 nucleotides) under Aggregata octopiana. RNAcentral's name for it is "partial 18S ribosomal RNA". It matches the Rfam family "Eukaryotic small subunit ribosomal RNA", at positions 676 to 1279 of the family's 1831-position model. The record is from RNAcentral. Lineage: Eukaryota; Apicomplexa; Marosporida; Aggregatidae.
UUUUUGUGUAAGUGUAUUUUAUAAUUGUUAGAUUUAUAUAAAAAGUUUUAUAUGUUUAUAUAGUAAUUUUAUAAUUUUAUUUUGAGGAAAUUAAAGUGUUUAAAGCAUGAAUGUUUGGUUGAAUGAUGUAGUAUGGAAUAAUAAAAAUGUAAUAGAAUUUGUUUUAAUGGUUGGUUUUAAAAUGUUAUUAAAUUAUUUUUAAGAAUAGUUGGGGGUAUUUGUAUUUAACAGCAAGAGGUGAAAUUCUUAGAUUUGUUGAAGAUAAAUUAUUGCGAAAGCAUUUAUUAAAAAUGUUUUUUUAAAUUAAGAACAAAAGUUAAGGGAUCGAAGACGAUCAGAUACCGUCGUAGUCUUAAUUAUAAACUAUGCCGAUUAGGGAUUAGAUGUUUUUAAUUAAAUGAAUUGUUUAGUAUUUUUAAAGAAAUCGAAGUUUUUAGGUUUUGGGGGGAGUAUAGUUGCAAGGUUGAAACUUAAAGGAAUUGACGGAAAGGCACCACCAGAAGUGGAGUAUGCGGUUUAAUUUGACUCAACACAAGAAAUCUUAUUAGGUCUAGACAUAUGAAGGAUUGACAGAUUAAUAGUUUUUUUUUGAUUUUAUGGGUGGUG